Molecule: microRNA precursor, 95 nt
Filed under: Podarcis lilfordi (Lilford's wall lizard)
Lineage: Eukaryota; Metazoa; Chordata; Lepidosauria; Squamata; Lacertidae
Source: RNAcentral
CCUCCAGAUGUUUUGGGACUACAAUUCCCAUCAUCCCUGACCACUGGACCUGUUAGCUAGGGAUGAUGGGAGUUGUAGUCCAAAACAGCUGGAGG